This 234-nucleotide long non-coding RNA is filed under the name Elaeis guineensis (African oil palm). Its description in RNAcentral is "long non-coding RNA (EGUI_LNC061605)". Lineage: Eukaryota; Viridiplantae; Streptophyta; Magnoliopsida; Arecales; Arecaceae. The record is from RNAcentral.
UUAGGUGAUCAGGUUAGCUGGCUAAAGUCGAGCCUAAUCAUUUGGUAGUUAGAUUCGUAAGCAUGAUCGUGUAAAUAGUUAGACUAGAGGCUUGUAGAGAAGAUCAAAGUCAACUAAAAAGUUAUCUAGGGCUAAAUCAACUACUAAAAAUUAUUUGGUGAAACAAUUGGUUGAUAAACCAACCCAUGGAUGUACAUGGGUGAGCCAGCCAAAGUCAGACUCGUGUGUAGUCUA